UAAAAGUUUUAUUCUAGCUAGAAAGUUCUCUGUUGGAUUGGUUCACAUGUAAGAAAUAAGCGAGAGGUAAUAAAGGGGUCUUAAAGAUACCUGAAAGUAGUUUAUUCGCAGUGUUUUGUAUUGGUUGGUCAAGGAACCUUGGAUCCAGUAAUUUGUAUAGUUCCGGCAAAACUCGUGCCAGCCGCCGCGGUUACACGAAGGGGGUGAGAGUACUUUAUUGGCUUGUAAUUAGCUGUAGUUGGUGGUUGAAAGUAUAAUUUUGUUGGGUGAAAUUUUAAAGUUUGAGUUAACCGAGAAUUAGUUGAGCGAAGUUACGAAAUUUGGGUAGAAAACUAGGAUUAGAUACCCUACUAUUCCAAGCGUUAAUAAAGGGCCAGAGUAGUAAUAGUUAUGUUCUUGAAACUCAAAGAAUUUGGCGGUGUUUUAGUCCAUUCAGAGGAACCUGCCCCGUAAUCGAUAAUCCACGUUAAACUUAACUUAGGUUUAUUUAGCUUGUAUACCGCCGUCGAAAGAGGAAUUUUUAAGAAUCCCCUCUAACACCUAUACUAAGGUAGAUGUCAGGUCAAGGUGCAGUUUAUGUCUAAGGGGAGGUGGGUUACAAUAAGGAUACUUAAACGGAAAUUCACAGGAAGUAGGUGAAUUGAAGGUGGAUUUGAGUGUAAUAGUUUUGAAAUUAAACCUAUGAAAUUGGCUCUAAAACAAGCACACAUCGCCCGUCGCUCUCGUUUAUUUAAGGCGAGAUAAGUCGUAACAAAGUAGGUGUACCGGAAGGUGCUUCUAGAAUGAA
Molecule: non-coding RNA, 787 nt
Filed under: Heptagenia sulphurea
Lineage: Eukaryota; Metazoa; Arthropoda; Insecta; Ephemeroptera; Heptageniidae
Source: RNAcentral